CCUACGGGGUGCAGCAGUGAGGAAUAUUGGUCAAUGGACGAGAGUCUGAACCAGCCAAGUAGCGUGAAGGAUGACUGCCCUAUGGGUUGUAAACUUCUUUUAUAUGGGAAUAAACUGUUCCACGUGUGGGAUUUUGUAUGUACCAUAUGAAUAAGGAUCGGCUAACUCCGUGCCAGCAGCCGCGGUAAUACGGAGGAUCCGAGCGUUAUCCGGAUUUAUUGGGUUUAAAGGGAGCGUAGGUGGAUUGUUAAGUCAGUUGUGAAAGUUUGCGGCUCAACCGUAAAAUUGCAGUUGAAACUGGCAGUCUGGAGUACAGUAGAGGUGGGCGGAAUUCGAGGUGUAGCGGUGAAAUGCUUAGAUAUCACGAAGAACUCCGAUUGCGAAGGCAGCUCACUGGACUGCAACUGACACUGAGGCUCGAAAGUGUGGGUAUCAAACAGGAUUAGAUACCCGUGUAGUC
This 460-nucleotide ribosomal RNA is filed under the name uncultured bacterium. RNAcentral describes it as "partial 16S ribosomal RNA". It matches the Rfam family "Bacterial small subunit ribosomal RNA", at positions 338 to 795 of the family's 1533-position model. The record is from RNAcentral.